CUCUCAUGUGUGUGCAGUAGAGCUACAGCUAGCAGUCGGUUAACUUAAUUUAGCACAAAAACUGGACACAGGGGGAAACAGUUAGCUUGGCUCUGUCCAAAAGUAA
Long non-coding RNA from Sander lucioperca (pikeperch), 106 nucleotides. RefSeq lists it as uncharacterized. The transcript is spliced from 4 exons. NCBI's taxonomy places the organism in Eukaryota, Metazoa, Chordata, Actinopteri, Perciformes, Percidae. The record is from RefSeq and is a predicted model, not a curated record.